RNAcentral lists this ribosomal RNA (560 nucleotides) under uncultured Glomus. RNAcentral describes it as "SSU rRNA". It matches the Rfam family "Eukaryotic small subunit ribosomal RNA", at positions 546 to 1106 of the family's 1831-position model. The record is from RNAcentral. Lineage: Eukaryota; Fungi; Glomeromycota; Glomeromycetes; Glomerales; Glomeraceae.
AAUUGGAGGGCAAGUCUGGUGCCAGCAGCCGCGGUAAUUCCAGCUCCAAUAGCGUAUAUUAAAGUUGUUGCAGUUAAAAAGCUCGUAGUUGAAUUUCGGGAUCAAUAUUUCGGUCAUGCCGUUGGUAUGCACUGUUAUCAUUGAUUUCUCACCUUCUAAAGAACCGUAAUGCCAUUAAUUUGGUGUUACGGGGAAUUAGGACUGUUACCUUGAAAAAAUUAGAGUGUUUAAAGCAGGCUCACGCUUGAAUACAUUAGCAUGGAAUAAUGAAAUAGGACAUCCGAUUCUAUUUUGUUGGUUUCUAAGAUCGAUGUAAUGAUUAAUAGGGAUAGUUGGGGGCAUUAGUAUUCAAUUGUCAGAGGUGAAAUUCUUGGAUUUAUUGAAGACUAACUACUGCGAAAGCAUUUGCCAAGGAUGUUUUCAUUAAUCAAGAACGAAAGUUAGGGGAUCGAAGACGAUCAGAUACCGUCGUAGUCUUAACCAUAAACUAUGCCGACUAGGGAUCGGAUGAUGUUAAUUUUUUAAUGACUCAUUCGGCGCCUUACGGGAAACCAAAGUGU